UAGGGAAUCUUCCGCAAUGGACGCAAGUCUGACGGAGCAACGCCGCGUGAGUGAAGAAGGAUUUCGGUUCGUAAAACUCUGUUGUUAGAGAAGAACAGCGCUUAGAGUAACUGUUAUGCGUGUGACGGUAUCUAACCAGAAAGCCACGGCUAACUACGUGCCAGCAGCCGCGGUAAUACGUAGGUGGUAAGCGUUGUCCGGAUUUAUUGGGCGUAAAGCGAGCGCAGGCGGUCAAUUAAGUCUGAUGUGAAAGCCCCCGGCUCAACCGGGGAGGGUCAUUGGAAAAUGGUUGACUUGAGUGCAGAAGAGGGGAGUGGAAUUCCGUGUGUAGCGGUGAAAUGCGUAGAUAUAUGGAGGAACGCCAGUGGCGAAGGCGACUAUCUGGUCUGUAACUGACGCUGAGGCUCGAAAGCGUGGGUAGCAAACAGG
RNAcentral lists this ribosomal RNA (429 nucleotides) under Bacteroidota bacterium. RNAcentral's name for it is "Bacteroidetes bacterium partial 16S ribosomal RNA". It matches the Rfam family "Bacterial small subunit ribosomal RNA", at positions 355 to 776 of the family's 1533-position model. Lineage: Bacteria; Pseudomonadati; Bacteroidota. The record is from RNAcentral.